AGAGUUUGAUCCUGGCUCAGGAUGAACGCUGGCGGUAUGCCUAACACAUGCAAGUCGAACGAUGUCUUCGGACAUAGUGGCGGACGGGUGAGUAACGCGUGAGAAUCUGCCUCUAGGAUGGGGAUAACGGUUGGAAACGACCGCUAACACCCAAUAUGCCGUAAGGUGAAAAAUUUAUUGCCUGGAGAGGAGCUCGCGUCUGAUUAGCUAGUUGGUGGGGUAAGAGCUCACCAAGGCUUCGAUCAGUAGCUGGUCUGAGAGGAUGAGCAGCCACACUGGGACUGAGACACGGCCCAGACUCCUACGGGAGGCAGCAGUGGGGAAUUUUCCGCAAUGGGCGAAAGCCUGACGGAGCAAUACCGCGUGAGGGAGGAAUGCCUUUGGGUUGUAAACCUCUUUUCUCAGGGAAGAAGAUCUGACGGUACCUGAGGAAUAAGUAUCGGCUAACUCCGUGCCAGCAGCCGCGGUAAUACGGAGGAUGCAAGCGUUAUCCGGAAUCAUUGGGCGUAAAGCGUCCGCAGGUGGUUUCCAAAGUCUGCUGUUAAAGACUGGAGCUCAACUCCGGAACGGCGGUGGAAACUUGGAAACUAGAGUUCGGUAGGGGUAGCAGGAAUUCCCAGUGUAGCGGUGAAAUGCGUAGAUAUUGGGAAGAACAUCGGUGGCGAANGCGUGCUACUGGACCGUAACUGACACUCAGGGACGAAAGCUAGGGGAGCGAAAGGGAUUAGAUACCCCUGUAGUCCUAGCUGUAAACGAUGGAAACUAGGUGUGGCUUGUAUCGACCCGAGCCGUGCCGUANCU
This 801-nucleotide ribosomal RNA is filed under the name uncultured marine microorganism. RNAcentral describes it as "bacterial SSU rRNA". It matches the Rfam family "Bacterial small subunit ribosomal RNA", at positions 8 to 853 of the family's 1533-position model. The record is from RNAcentral.